CUGGGCACAUAGGCCACAGCAGCUCAGUGGAAGGGGAAUUGGGCGGCAGCCAAGGGGCAUCCACGCCGUGCUAGGGUGCACCUGCCCCUCGGAGCUCAUGGGGUACCAGAGCAGAGGGGUAUGCUGCCCACCCCUCCCCAUCCUGCAGAGGAAUCUGAAGCAGGAGGUGAGGAUGGCGUUGGAGGGUCAGGAAUGUGGAUGCCCCCCACCCACCUAUCCACCUACCCUGGCAUCUUCCGGUCAGCACAGCCUCUCUUGGAAAAAGAAAAGUCUAGCUCAGCAAUUCUCAGCCUAGGGGGUUUGCCCCCAGGGGACCUUUGGCAGUGUCUGGAGACAUUUCUGGCUGUGACACCUAGAGGUGGGGGUGACCCUGGCAUCUAGUGGGAGGACAGAGAUGCUGCUCAGCAUCGUGCUGUGCAUACAGCUCCCAACAAAGAGGAGCGCACCCUAAACACCGAUCACGCGAAAGCAGAGAAACCUCGCUCAGCCAGACAUGGUGCCCACACGCCGGGGCCUUACGUGCUGGGAUCUCCUAUCCCCACCUCAGUAAAAUCAGCAGCACAUGGUCCUACCCUUUACGAGGUUUGUUUCACUCUCGGCACAAUGGAAUGAGAUGGCGCACAUUUCAAAGGCUCCAGGACAUAAAAAAAAUUAUCAUUCUCGCUGUUAUUCAGAACCUAAAACUGGCUGGACAGCGACAGAAGCCCAUGAACUUCACACUCCCCAUCCACAUUUUUCUUGCCCAAAGCACGUUCUCCACAAGAGCGUGGGGGUAAUAGCUCCUCUGGGGAGCUGCCAGGCCUCCCCACAUGCACCCAGCCACAGUCUAAACCCUUUGACUGGGACGACUGGCCCCCUCCUGGGGUGGUGGGUGCUCAGAGCAGCCCCACUGACCUCCGCCCUGGCAGACUCGUGUGUGCCCUUCUGCUCCUAUUUUUAUCUUGGCAAUUAAGAGGUUUCAUGCUACAAUUCUCAGGAUUGGGCCAGUUUGGGGUUUGCAGGCCAUCACCCCGGUGUGGGGGGCUCCUGGCUGGGAAUGCUUACUCUUCUCCAAAGCAGAGGAGCUGAAAGGCUUGAGGGGUGCCCACUUCCCCCUCCAUGCUCCUCACCUCACAGAGGGGAGGCCUGGCAGCUCCCACCUGGGAAAGCUGUGGCCUAGCAAAGGACGGCGGCCACUUAGAGGCUCGGGUCCAGGAGGCCUAGAGCCACAGGCUCCAUGGCCCUCUCAGGGCGCCUGAGAUGAGACCCAGAGGCUGCGGACACCAGCGUGGAGGGUGUUUUCCAUGAACGUUCUGGCACAGAAGCCGUGUGAAACUCCAAGGGAGGUGGGGGUGGUGCUCCAAUCCGAGGCCUGGUUCCUAAAGAGGCUGCUCCAGACCCCAAGUGCUCCUGCCGUGUUUCCCUGGCCCUCCUGCCAGCACCCCGGACUUCACCUCCCUGCAGAACCCAGGAUGUGGCUUGCACGCUGCAGUGAAUACAACACGCCCUGUUCUGCAUCCACACUGCAUCGUUAGAGGGCCACACACACGCCAAUGUGAAAGUGCACUGGGUUCAGAGCCUUCCCCAGAGAAGCACAGCAGCCGGCCAGCUCCUGACAUGCCGAGGGUGACUCAUUGCACAGUGAAUACACACGCUUCACCCGGGCCCUUCCUCGGCCAGGAAUGCACCUGCCGCCACCUCACAUCACUCCACAGAGACCUGCCCUGUCCUCCAAAAGCUCUUCCUCCAAGAAGCCUUGUGGGAUGAUCCAGCUGUCACUCACCUCCCUAACUGAAGCAGUGAAGUGAAGCCCAGAGACACCCAGCCACCGCCUUCCAAGACGAAGGCCAGCAGGAGCCCCCGGAAGGGGUUCCAACUCUGCCUCCCCUCGCCCUGCACACCAGCCAUACACACCCAUGCCUGAGCCCCCUCCCCAGACGGUAGUUUCUGGAGGACAGAAAACCAGCCCUGUGGUCUCUGUAGCCUCCACCGCCGCCACCCCCACCCCAUGCCCACCGGGGCCUUGCCUGGAGCCACCACUCAGCCCAGAGCCGAGGUCAAGCCAAUGGAUCUGUGCAGAAACGCUCUUUAAAAUGCAUUACGUGCAGGACUUCAAAGAGACACCCGCUGCUUGGUGUAUUUCAAAAAGGUGCAAGUGGGUGAUGAACGACCUCGGCUUGUUACCAGGCUGAGGAAUAAGGGCUCUGUCUGUCUGCCAGGAAGUAAAGUGUGGGCAUAUGUCACCUUCGGGAUGCGCUGGCGGGAGGCUCCUGAGCCCGUUGGACAGGAAGGCGCAGCCCCCAGUUCAUCAGUGGUUCUGAUGUGAGGGGCGGCCCAGUGGGAGGGAGAGGGGCCCCAUGUCCAUCAGGGGAGGUGGGGCUCAGCUUCCUGGCCCCUGUGCAGAGAGGAAGCUUCUGCGAAGCUGCCUCAAGUCAUGGACAAACAGGUGUGACUGUUCCUUGUUUUUUUCUUUUUAACUAAUCCAGCAGAUUCUAUCUUUGAACUUUUCCUUCCCGGGUGGUACUCCGAGACAGGUCUAAGGCAGUUUCAUCCUAGCUUGGCUUGGUGGGAAAAAACUGGUUGAGUUUGUCUAUAGUAUAUUAAUUACAUCCUCUGUUCUCUCUCCUCCUAGAGCUAUCAGCAGAAUUAAAACUGGGAUGCACUCUUAGCAACCCGGUAUUAAAUCCACCCCAUGUCCGGAGCCCCAGGUCAGCCACUGCAGGAAGAGGAAAGAGUCCAAGAGGCCGUCCUGGUGCUCCUCCUGGACUUGCGAACAGAUGCAGGGGGACUCCAAGGCCAUUACGGAGCUAUGUGUCACUGAGUCCAAAGGGACAGUCUCUACACGGAGCAGAGGAACUCAGGAAGGUGCUGGGUGGAGGGGCGGCAGGCAGCGGGGCGCAGCCGGGGACCCCUGGGAGAGCCACAUCUGCAGCGUGCCCUCUCUUGGGGCAGCAGAGACGGCUGCGUGUGCAUUUCCUUCCUCCCAUACUGCAAAUCCAUCCCCUGCUUACCUCGGGUGCUGGCACGGGGCUGUGCAGAGAAACACGCAGGAGAGAAGAUGGGCUGGUCGCCUAGGAGAGGGCAUGACUGCCCUGGGGAGAGUGGCUGGGCAAUUACUCACACAGACGAUUUCUUCCAAGACCCACAGCUUCUCAGCAGGGCCCUGGGAAGGCCACUAUGUGCCCUAGGGUAAGUCAUUUGCUUCUGAGAGCUGCAUCUCCAUCUGCAGAUGAGAAGUGCCUGCUGCCCAGGCCCUGGUGCAUCUGCCACGCCUGCACUUCCAUACUCCGACCCAACAGAGCGAUUGAUGAUCAAGGGCGUCGGACCUCGCCCUGUGCAGAGGGGCUGGCCCCUGGCUCAGCUUCCCUGGACAAGCCCCAUCCACCAAGCUUCCCACCUCCCUCCUGCUAAGGGGACAACAGAACAUGCUGUCUUCCCAUGUCAACUGCUCGGGCUGGAACCCUGCUUCUCCCCCCUGAGGAGAGCAUGACCUGCGUGAGGGGCACUCCCCUCUGCCUCGGUUGCCUGGUCUAUAGAAUGAGGACUGAGACAGUGUAAAGUCCUUCAAAUAGCCCUGACACAGGAAGCCCUCAAUAAGGUCACUUCUUUCGGGGCGAAUAUUAUCAGGAUGCUGUUUUGAAAAGGAAGCGCACGGUCGCUGUGGCACACCUCCGAGAGUGUCUGACUUGGCCCUGAUCGCUGCCUGAGGCCCGCUGCACAAGGUGCAGCUUCAGGUCUUCACUUGUGCCUGGUGACCUCGUGGGAGGUGCCUCCAUCUCUUCCCAUUUUGGGAGGAAAACACGGCGUGCAAAUCCCCAGCCAUCCACAGAAUCCCACCUACGGGAUGACUCGGUUCCUAGAAAAGAGACCAGGAAGAGAGGCCACAGGCAGGCUCUUCCAAACUGAGGCUUGGCCCCAGAAAACCCUGCCUCUGAUGUCUCUGGACCAUUGGAUGGGAACCCCCUCCUCAAAUCCUGGCUCUGCUCAACACUCGGGAUGCGGUUGGUCUGUUUGUCAGACCCCACACAUUACGUCAACAGGUAAGAGAUGAAAACAUGUCGCAGCUGCGUCUGUCCAUCGGCCAUAGCAGGUUUUCAAAAUCGGCUGCGUUUUCCUCUCAUGGCAUAUGGAAAUUGGAUGCUAAAUUUUUGUUGGAAGUACUUGGGUCUAUAUUUAGACUUCAUGAAAUUGAAGUGGAAACCAGAUCCACGCAUCCCAGUUGUUCCAAACAAACUUUAAAGUUUUCCAAUAACUGAGUCAAGUGUUAGUUUUGAAUUUUCAUUUUAAUUAAGUAAAAUGAAACAUCUGCUCCUCAGUCACGUGAGCCACGUUUCAAGUGCUCAAAAGCCGCAUGUAGCUGGUGGCGGCCGCUGCACAGGCUGGUGCCCAGAGAGAGCAAGUCUUCCUUCCAUCAUCAGUCCUGAAAGAUCCCUUCCUGGGUGCCUCAGGGAAAUGGGCGUGCUUGUGCACAUCUCCACUGAACACAUGAAUGUUGGAAACUCAGGUACUGGCAUGGGGGUGUGUGGGCAGCUGCAGGAGCCAGAGGAGGGUCCUUCCCCAGCCCCCAGCUCUAGCCACCGUGUCCCUGGGAGAGGGCAUUGCCAGCUAUGGGGAGCCACCAGAGCUCCCCCGCUACCCCGUGCCCAGCCCUGCAUUUUAGUAGACAGUUUUCUCCCACUAUAUUUAUUGAGUAGCUAUUACAGGCUUGGUAUUGUUUAGGUGCUGGGGACACAAACACAUACAGAUAAAACUGCUGUCUGCAGGAGCCACAUUCUCCUGCCAGGUAGGGUCCUGAGGCUGAUCAGCCUUACCGAGGUUCGGACCAGGCCUGCAGGAUCUGCCCUUUUCAAUCUUGAGCUCUUCUCCUUGUCCCUCAUACCCUGUGAACGCCACCCAGCCUAUUGCACAUUUCGGGUCCCACACGCCUCCUGGGGCCCGGCCCACCUCCACCCUCCCCACCUCUCCCUCCUUCUCAUUCCUCGAGGCCCACAACACUGUGGUAGCAGGAGGCCUCACCAGCUUGUGGCUCAGCCUGAAGAUGAUAAAGCCCAUGGGGCCCACCCAACAUCUGGAGCCAGGAGGAGCAUGACAUUCCUUCUGCCCUCACCGCUGAACCUGAGGGGAGAGCAGCGCCCACCUGCAGGGGUGACCUGCCUGGUGCCGUCCCCCUACCCUCCACAACCUCGCCUCUCCCCAAAGGGCCAACAGGCUCUACGUGCCCUAGGUGCCCCCUCACAUCCUGACAUCCCUGAGCCUCAGUUUCCUUGCCUGUCAAAUGGGGAGAAUCUGCCCCCUGCAGGUGGUAGAAUUACAUGGUGGAUCCGCAUUACCAGCACUAGUCCGUUCAGCGUGACAUGUACGCUCUGUGUGAAGUGACGUGGCACGUGGGCGAGAGGCGGGCAUCCUGGAGCCCCCUCUACCACCCCUUAUGGACUGGGUGUUACCUGUGAGUCCCUUCAGCACUGUCCUCACCUCGACGGCAGUUGUGAUAUCAAACGGGUGGAUUUAUGUGGCUUUACUGACGUGGAGCAGGCGGAUGGGCCAGCUGCCGGCUGUGCGGCCUGGGGCGGGUGGGGGGACAGGAGUGCAGGGGCAGCCCUGAGGCUGAAUCCCUAGGACCAGGAGGUGGGAGAAUUCCCCGAGGGAGGGAGAGAGGGGUGCGGUGUGAGCACAGACGCAUCAGGAAUUCAGUGGAUAGUGUCCCAGACAGGAAAGUCGGACAGAGCCACAGAAGCAUGCGUGUUACACUGCAUGAAGCAAGGACCAAAGAGCAGACGGUGGGGGCCCAGGGGUCGGGCAAACGGACCCGAGAGCAGGACAAAGGACAGCUUUUUCAGGCUGAGCAUUCAGAAAUCUGUGGCCUUAAAUUUACAUACAUUACUUCGUUAAAAAGAAAAAGUUAGAACAAUACUAGAUUUCCUUAAUUCAAUAAUCAUAGUAACAGACUCUGAGAGGCAGGGAUAUCGGAAUGGAUUAUGUCAGGUUCAUCUGUGGGUCAUUUUUAAAUGCUGGAGCAGCCACCAGUGAGUAGUACGCAGCAGUUAAAGAGAAUGAGGUACAUCUAAUGUACCAAGGUGGAAAGGUGGGGCACGCUUGUACUGAAAACAUAUUUGUUGUUUAUUCGAAAUUCUGAUGUAACUGGGUGUCCUGCAUCUGCGUUGCUAACUCUGGUGGCAGCCCUGUGCUUUGAAGAUCUGGGCCCUUUUGAGGGCUUGAUGAGAAAUGCGGGCCUUCUUCUGGAAGAGAGACCAGGCCCCACUCUGCAAACAAUCCCAGGGACGGAUCCCUCCGAAAGUCCACCCAUGGGUUUAGAUCAGGACCCAGCCAACUUUUUCUGCAAGGUGCCAGAUGGCAAAUAUCUUCAGCAAAAGCGGCUAUAUACGGUACAUAUACAAACGGGCACGGGUGUGUGCCAA
This is a non-coding RNA of Manis javanica (Malayan pangolin), 6395 nucleotides long. NCBI's taxonomy places the organism in Eukaryota, Metazoa, Chordata, Mammalia, Pholidota, Manidae. The record is from RefSeq and is a predicted model, not a curated record.